Molecule: non-coding RNA, 25 nt
Filed under: Mus musculus (house mouse)
Lineage: Eukaryota; Metazoa; Chordata; Mammalia; Rodentia; Muridae
Source: RNAcentral
UAAGUAUAGAUGUAGGGUUGUUUUU